CCCUACGGGGUGCAGCAGGAAUCCUCAUUGGUGGCGGUGUACACUUCAUACCAGUGGGUGGUGCUCCAGCAGCUAUAGCAACAGCAACAGGUGUGGGAACAGGUACUGCUAUGUUAGCAGCAGGUUCAGGUAUGACUGGACUAAUUACCGCCGCAGCCAUGACCGGACAGCCAUUAUGGCUUAUUCUGGCAUCAGGGGCUGUUGGUUCCAUGCUCAUGAUAGGUGUCACCAUGCUGGUAGGUAACUGGGUAUAUGUAUGGGGUGUAGGAACCGUACCCGUAUCUGCCAAAGUAGACACUGACCCAAUUACAAAAUAUCCCCAAGAAAAAUAUGUAACCCCAGGUACUGAAGGACACGGAAUACCAACCGUAUGUUUUGUUAGUGGAAUAAUAGGAGGACUCUUAGGAGGAAUUGGCGGGGGAGC
This 424-nucleotide ribosomal RNA is filed under the name uncultured prokaryote. Its description in RNAcentral is "partial 16S ribosomal RNA". The record is from RNAcentral.